AUGGCGGCUUUCCACCGUUUCUACCACCUCGCUGGUGGUAAUUUAGCUGCCCUGAACACUGCCUUUGUGGCGUUGCUGCCGAAGAAGGAUGGGGCCGUGCGGAUGACAGACUUUCGCCCAAUCAGUCUGAUCCACUCGUUUGCGAAGCUGCUCACGAAGGUGCUAUCAAUCCGACUGUCAAAAGUAAUCCACAUGAUCGUCUCCCCUGCACAGUCAGCUUUCCUGAAGACGAGGUGUAUACAAGACAGUUUCUUGUAUGUUCAUAAUGGAGUUCGUGCACUACACCAUACCAUAACCCCGACAUUGUUACUGAAAUUAGACAUCUCCAAAGCUUUUGAUAGUGUAUCCUAG
RNAcentral lists this ribosomal RNA (351 nucleotides) under Triticum aestivum (bread wheat). RNAcentral describes it as "partial small subunit ribosomal RNA". The record is from RNAcentral. Lineage: Eukaryota; Viridiplantae; Streptophyta; Magnoliopsida; Poales; Poaceae.